RNAcentral lists this unclassified non-coding RNA (319 nucleotides) under uncultured fungus. RNAcentral describes it as "partial contains small subunit ribosomal RNA, internal transcribed spacer 1, and 5.8S ribosomal RNA". The stretch from base 1 to 73 matches the Rfam family "Eukaryotic small subunit ribosomal RNA", at positions 1759 to 1831 of the family's 1831-position model. Lineage: Eukaryota; Fungi. The record is from RNAcentral.
ACAAACUUGGUCAUUUAGAGGAAGUAAAAGUCGUAACAAGGUUUCCGUAGGUGAACCUGCGGAAGGAUCAUUAACGUAUCUCAGACGGUUGACCGGUGUGCCCUGCUCCGGCCUGCAAAGGCCGUGCAGCGGGUCCGUCGGCGCCGUCCAACCUUUGCAAACCCACGUGCACGUUUGCUGGCGGAUGGGGGGGAGACCUCCUGGAAGCCGCUUCACAAACCCUGAAAACCCAGAAUGAACGGUGACCUAUGUGUUGCCCGAACUUGAAACAACUUUCAACAACGGAUCUCUUGGCUCUCGCAUCGAUGAAGAACGCAGC